Molecule: transfer RNA, 69 nt
Filed under: Marmota monax (woodchuck)
Lineage: Eukaryota; Metazoa; Chordata; Mammalia; Rodentia; Sciuridae
Description: tRNA.Ala
Source: RNAcentral
GGAUUGUGGCUUAGUGGUAGAGCACUGAGCCUAGCAUGUGCUAGGCCCUGGGUUCGAUCCUCGGCACCA